AUGAAAACGAAGCAUCUUACCGCAACGUAACGUAAAUUUUUCUUGGAAAUGGAGGUGAUCUGCAGGUUUCAGCGAUGGUACGUGAAAGGGAAGAAAAUG
Molecule: long non-coding RNA, 99 nt
Organism: Bombus impatiens (common eastern bumble bee)
Lineage: Eukaryota; Metazoa; Arthropoda; Insecta; Hymenoptera; Apidae
Exons: 3
Source: RefSeq, a predicted model, not a curated record